GCCGCUAUGCAUUGCAUUUUGUCUUCACAGAUAAUUUGGCCAAAUUUAUUGUAACUAGAGAGUGCAAUCGUGCUUGGGGCCCAACCCAAUGUCAUCACAUGGCUGUGGUGACUAGUGUAUAUCUGGGAGAAUUUUUCCUCGACUGAUACGGAGUGCAGGUGGAUCGAUUAUGAGAAAUGCGAACAUGUGAAGUUCAAGGCUAGAUGCACUUCACAUUCGGCGUGCGAUCUCAGCGUCUGGGACCUGAUGAAGUCUUGGUUGGAUGAUUAUUCAAGCCUGACACUACUCGACACACCAAUGUACAUGUCACUGUAAUUUUUUCAGAGCUGCACUAUUUACGUGUUGAUGCUUACUUCGGUGUUAGCGUGUUUCCCCCGGAUUGUUUCUAUCAUCAUGAUCGUGUGUUCUUGGGCUGAGCGAGCACAUGCACAAGUGUGCAGCUUUAACCCUGUGUAUCUUUGGUUACACUUUGUUCUGCAAUGCAUGUACCUUGUAACAUUAUGUGCUUGCACUGCUUUGUCUGGCCUGCGUAUUUCAGGACUAUUCAGUGCAUUAGACCCAGGUUUGUUUGGUUGCCGGAUGAUCUAUUGUUGCGUCGCUCUGUAUUUGUAUUCA
This is a long non-coding RNA of Sycon ciliatum, 615 nucleotides long. RefSeq lists it as uncharacterized. Lineage: Eukaryota; Metazoa; Porifera; Calcarea; Leucosolenida; Sycettidae. The record is from RefSeq and is a predicted model, not a curated record. The transcript is spliced from 2 exons.